UGACAUCAAAUUUGCUACAAAUGACAAAGCACUACAAACUACAGUUGAGCACCGUUGUGUCAAACUCUGAUAACUCGAUAUCUCGGUUGUCUCGAUAUAACAUCUCGGUCCGGCAAAAUCCUCCAUAA
Molecule: long non-coding RNA, 128 nt
Organism: Haliotis rubra (blacklip abalone)
Lineage: Eukaryota; Metazoa; Mollusca; Gastropoda; Lepetellida; Haliotidae
Exons: 3
Source: RefSeq, a predicted model, not a curated record